ACACGAGCUCUUCUGAUGUAUAUAUUUGAGCUUGUAUGUAUAAUUUUAACCCUAUGUGGAUUGGAGAAGAUCCUAAAUAAAUUCAGACUUGUGCACCCAAUCCUUGUUUUUCAAAGUCAUUAAUGGUACAUGUA
Thalassophryne amazonica is the source of this 134-nucleotide long non-coding RNA. RefSeq lists it as uncharacterized. The record is from RefSeq and is a predicted model, not a curated record. The transcript has 3 exons. NCBI's taxonomy places the organism in Eukaryota, Metazoa, Chordata, Actinopteri, Batrachoidiformes, Batrachoididae.